This is a long non-coding RNA of Pyrus x bretschneideri (Chinese white pear), 215 nucleotides long. RefSeq lists it as uncharacterized. NCBI's taxonomy places the organism in Eukaryota, Viridiplantae, Streptophyta, Magnoliopsida, Rosales, Rosaceae. The transcript is spliced from 2 exons. The record is from RefSeq and is a predicted model, not a curated record.
UAGACAAACAAAGUUAGGUUGGAAUCCUUGUGUAAAAAUGCAUGAAAUAAACAUGUUGGAAUAAUGGUAGGCUAGUCAAUUUUCUUGUUCAAAGUUAGGCAAGUUAGGCAAGUUAGGCAAGUUAGGCAAAAUUAGGUUUAUGUUCUUUUUCUUUCCUAUAUAUAUGUUUCAUCUUGUAAUUGUUCAAUCAAGCAAAUAUACAUCAAAAUUCUACA